This is a long non-coding RNA of Oncorhynchus tshawytscha (Chinook salmon), 1751 nucleotides long. NCBI's taxonomy places the organism in Eukaryota, Metazoa, Chordata, Actinopteri, Salmoniformes, Salmonidae. The record is from Ensembl.
GUUUUUUUGCCAAAGUAUAUUUACGGUACUUCGAUACGAUUUAGUUUUUCAGUUUAUAUUUCUUUAUUUGUGUGUUUAAAAAAAACAAACAUCUGUUUUGUAUUUAUUACAAUUUUUUAUUUUUACUCCAAAGUAUUGUGUAUUAACUUGCCCGCGGUGUUGGGUAAUACUGAACGUUCAGACAUCGUGGGCGGCAGGUAGCCUCGUGGUUCGAUCGUUGGGCCACUUGUUGAAUAUAUUCAGUCGUUCUCCAAAUCCUGAAGCUACUUUACCUUGAUAUAUGCAUGCUGAAUUUGGAUUUACAUUUGGGAUUUUGUUUGUUGCACCAAAACUCCCUGUACUGUGUACUUUAUAACUGAGCUUCAUGUCCAGUUUUUCAUAACUCUCUCAUUGCCACAAAUUAUAUAAUAAUAAUAAUUAUAAGAUACUUUUAAAAAAAUAUACAAAAAAUUUAAAUGACUUUAAACUUUUAUUUAUACUCAUUAAUUUCCCAAUACUUCCAAACAUGUUGUUGAACUGUAUUGUAAAAUAUGAUAUAUAUAUAUAUAUUAUAUAUAUAUAAUAUAUAUUAUGUGUGUUACAGGUAAAAGGGCAUAAGAAUAGAGGUACUCAAUCAUUCAAAGACACCUACUGUGUGCCUGUGUGUGAAGAUCAGGAAUCUGCAACGUUUGGGUAUUUUUACCAACUAUCUUUACUGCAAUAUACAUAGUUUAAAAUAAUAAUAAUAAUAAUAAUAAUAAUAAUAAUAAUAAUAAUAAUAAUAAUAAUAAUAAUAAUAAUAAUCUUUCCUUGAAAUCUACAGGAACUUGAUAGACCAUUUUCUUAAAUAAUGAAACAUACAAACAUGUCACAGACAUUAUGUGAGUGUCAUUAACAUGUACAAAAGGGUUAUUUUGAUUUCGAUGGGAGACGUGUAAACAAUGUGAACAGCUCUGUGUAGGGAGUAGGGAGGUGUUUCACCCUAGGUCUCUGUGUAGGGAGUAGGGAGGUGUUUCACCCUAGGUCUCUGUGUAGGGAGUAGGGAGGUGUUUCACCCUAGGUCUCUGUGUAGGGACUAGGGAGGUGUUUCACCCUAGGUCUCUGUGUAGGGAGUAGGGAGGUGUUUCACCCUAGGUCUCUGUGUAGGGACUAGGGAGCUGUUUCACCCUAGGUCUCUGUGUAGGGAGCUGUUUCACCCUAGGUCUCUGUGUAGGGAGUAGGGAGCCGUUUCACCCUAGGUCUCUGUGUAGGGAGCUGUUUCACCCUAGGUCUCUGUGUAGGGAGUAGGGAGCCGUUUCACCCUAGGUCUCUGUGUAGGGAGCUGUUUCACCCUAGGUCUCUGUGUAGGGACUAGGGAGGUGUUUCACCCUCGGUCUCUGUGUAGGGAGUAGGGAGCCGUUUCACCCUAGGUCUCUGUUGAGGAAAACGUCAUUUGAAUCAUCAGUACGGUAAGGGGAUCUUGUUAUAGUGAAACAGACGGAAACGGCCCGGACAAAAUAAAUAACAACAACAAAACAUUGCAAAUGAAGUUUUUUGAAAUAAAUGAUCGUCUGGCUAAGCCAAACAUUCUACGACAUAAUGUUUUCCUCUUUUUCAUGAAUUCUAAAACUUUGUAUGUUUUAUUGUCAACAGGAAUGAGUAUUAAUGUAAUUAUUAUUAUUAUUAUGAUUAUUGUCAUGGCUAUUACUAAUAUUAGUGGCAGGCCACUGGGUAACAUUGUAUGUUGAUAUCCAAAUGAUAAUGAUGAAAUGUUUAUGAGUUUUAAAAACAAA